This 465-nucleotide ribosomal RNA is filed under the name Vreelandella stevensii. RNAcentral describes it as "partial 16S ribosomal RNA". It matches the Rfam family "Bacterial small subunit ribosomal RNA", at positions 338 to 795 of the family's 1533-position model. Lineage: Bacteria; Pseudomonadati; Pseudomonadota; Gammaproteobacteria; Oceanospirillales; Halomonadaceae. The record is from RNAcentral.
CCUACGGGAGGCAGCAGUGGGGAAUAUUGGACAAUGGGCGAAGGCCUGAUCCAGCCAUGCCGCGUGUGUGAAGAAGGCCUUCGGGUUGUAAAGCACUUUCAGUGGGGAAGAAAGCCUUGGGGCUAAUACCCUCGAGGAAGGACAUCACCCACAGAAGAAGCACCGGCUAACUCCGUGCCAGCAGCCGCGGUAAUACGGAGGGCGCGAGCGUUAAUCGGAAUUACUGGGCGUAAAGCGCGCGUAGGCGGUCUGAUAAGCCGGUUGUGAAAGCCCCGGGCUCAACCUGGGAACGGCAUCCGGAACUGUCAGGCUAGAGUGCAGGAGAGGAAGGUAGAAUUCCCGGUGUAGCGGUGAAAUGCGUAGAGAUCGGGAGGAAUACCAGUGGCGAAGGCGGCCUUCUGGACUGACACUGACGCUGAGGUGCGAAAGCGUGGGUAGCAAACAGGAUUAGAUACCCUGGUAGUC